AAAGUCGUAACAAGGUUUCCGUAGGUGAACCUGCGGAAGGAUCAUUACCGAGAUUUUUCUUUUAUUGACUUAAGUCGUUAAAGAAUCUCCCACCCUUUGUGUUACUUUUUAAUUAUUACUUUGGUGAAGCGUUUUGUCUAUUAGUAGUUUACUAUUUGUUAACUAUUAGUGGGCAAACCAUCGACUUUUUCAUAUGAAAAGGUGGAUGUGUUUCUUUGCCAAAGGAACCACUUAACUCUUUUUUUAUAAUAUUUUGUCUGAGUUUAUAAUUUUAAAUAAACAAAACUUUCAACAACGGAUCUCUUGGUUCUG
This 312-nucleotide unclassified non-coding RNA is filed under the name Ascomycota sp. RNAcentral's name for it is "partial contains small subunit ribosomal RNA, internal transcribed spacer 1, and 5.8S ribosomal RNA". The stretch from base 1 to 47 matches the Rfam family "Eukaryotic small subunit ribosomal RNA", at positions 1785 to 1831 of the family's 1831-position model. Lineage: Eukaryota; Fungi; Ascomycota. The record is from RNAcentral.